AGUGAACGCUGGCGGUAGGCCUAACACAUGCAAGUCGAACGGCAGCACAGGAAGAGCUUGCCCUUACGGGUGGCGAGGGGCGGACGGGUGAGGCAUACAUCGGAAUCUACUUUUCCGUGGGGGAUAACGUAGGGAAACUUAUGCUAAUACCGCAUACGUUCUACGGGAGAAAGCAGGGGAGCUUCGGACCUUGCGCGAAUGAAAGAGCCGAUGUCGGAUUAGUUAGUUGGCGGGGUAAAGGCCCCCCAAGGCGAGGGACCGUACCUGGUCUGAGAGGUUGGCCGCCCACUCUGGAAUUGGGACACGGUCCAGCCCCCUACGGAAGGCAGCGUAGGGGAACAUUGGACAUAGGCGGAAGUCCUGCCCCAGCACUACCGCGUGGGGGAAGAAGGCUUUCGGGUUGUAAAGCCCUUUUGUUGGGAAAGAAAAGCAGCAGAUUAGAACGCCGCUGUUCUGACGGUACCCACAGAGUAAGCACCGGCUAACUUCGUG
This 492-nucleotide ribosomal RNA is filed under the name uncultured bacterium. RNAcentral describes it as "partial 16S ribosomal RNA". It matches the Rfam family "Bacterial small subunit ribosomal RNA", at positions 29 to 507 of the family's 1533-position model. The record is from RNAcentral.